Molecule: ribosomal RNA, 253 nt
Filed under: uncultured bacterium
Lineage: Bacteria
Description: partial 16S ribosomal RNA
Rfam family: Bacterial small subunit ribosomal RNA
Source: RNAcentral
UACGUAGGGGGCUAGCGUUGUCCGGAAUCAUUGGGCGUAAAGCGCGUGUAGGCGGCUUGGUAAGUCCGUUCUGAAAGCCCGGGGCUCAACCCCGGGAGGCGGAUGGAUACUGUCAAGCUCGAGUCCGGAAGAGGCAAGUGGAAUUCCCGGUGUAGCGGUGAAAUGCGCAGAUACCGGGAGGAACACCAAUGGCGAAGGCAGCUUGCUGGGACGGUACUGACGCUGAGGCGCGAAAGCUAGGGGAGCGAACGGG